Molecule: long non-coding RNA, 1227 nt
Organism: Astatotilapia calliptera (eastern happy)
Lineage: Eukaryota; Metazoa; Chordata; Actinopteri; Cichliformes; Cichlidae
Source: Ensembl
GCGCUACAGAGAGUCAACAUUUCACCAGCUGUCAGUGGGUGAAUUUUUGUGUCCUAAUUUAAAUAAAAAAUAAAUACAAAGAAACUAGAGAAUUUUGCCCGGAAUUAUUCAAAAUUUUUAGAUUUUUUUGGGUUACCCUUCUAGAUUGACAAGUUUAGCCCGUUACACAAAAAGUUUGGACACCCCUGAUCUAUAACAAUGACAAUCAGAACAUGGCUAUCCAACACUUUGUUUUUAGUGUUACUUACUAUUCUAAUAGAUAUUGUAUGUUCAUCUAGGAACAGCAUGAUGUAAAUACAAGACGGGCCCUCGUCCUUCGUGCACUUCCUGUGUACCUGCGUGAAGAUGCCUCCACAUUAUUCAGGACUUGUGAUUCAGCAGAUGGUCCAGACCUCACUGACACUCCUGUGGCUCUGCUGACAGUUGUCACAGAUGACACUACUGAUUCGGCCCUCUUCAGUCCCGAAAGCAUCUGCAUUGUCGUUGAGGAUGAAAUACUUGUGAAUGGUCCCACAAAUCUGGCUGACUCAUUUCUCCUGCUCUUUGGGUACAUCUAUGCACUAGACCUACAAUACCUAAAGAAACUUGAGCUUACAUUCACAUUUAUCCAGAAGGUUGUGAUGUGCCUUGAGGACAACAAACCACUGAAAGGGCGUCUACUGACGCUGAAGAAUGAUUUGUUCAAUGAGUGAAUCACUCAGAAUGGACUACUUGUUAAGCUGAGUAUUGAGGAAGCUUUUUUUUGUUUGUUUUUUUCCUAAUCAUUUGCCUCUCCUACCUCACAUUUAAGAUGAAUGACUGUUCAGUUCAUGCACUAUUCAUGUUUAAUGUUCUAUUGCCUAAUACGUAAAUGCACUGCCUUGAUGUUUGUUCCCUAUAAGUACAGCAGUGGAAAACAGUACUGUUUUUUUUUUUUAAUGUAUUUUUAAAAAAGAAAGUGAGCUGCAGCUGUCAAGGUACAGUAAGUGUUAAAUGCCUCAAUGUUCUAAUAGCUGCAAUUGCUGUUAAUACUGAAAAUGUUAUUGAAUUUUAGAAUUGAGAUGGAGACCCUUGGAGUCUUUUUCUCUUGUUUUAUUUAUGAAGCACUUUUUUAUGAGUGAGCUCUGUUGUUUGUGCCUUUUUAAAAGCACAUUGUGUUUAAUAAAAAGUUGUUAAAUUGUUAGUGUUGUUACUUUCAUGUUUUCUAACACUUUUAGCUGAUUAUAAUUUACUGGGCAAACAGUUUAG